CUGAUUGAAUGAAGAGUUAGUGGCGGAAGCGGUCGGUUUAGUUCCGAACGUCCUAUAAUUUAAUUUUAGUGGUAUCGCAUCCUUGGCCAACAGCAUUCAGCACACAGCUAAACCUUCUCUUCGAUCUUAAAUCUUCAAUUUUCAUUCAUCUACUCCCUAUUUUUCCUCUACCUUUUCUGAGAAGAACAUCACCUGCAAAAAAAAAAAAAUGCUUUUCUGAUAUUUCAACCAAGUCCCAUCUCACAAACCCUAGUUUAUCAUUCAUAUCCUUGCCUGAAGGUAAAACAGUGUAAAAGGGGAGCAGAAAAGUAGAAAAUCUUCCUCAAUCUGAUCAUUAGUAGCCGAAUCUGCUCUGUUUAAAAUGGCUGGGAGAAACCGCAUUCCUCGUGAAGCCUUCAAUGACCGGCGUGGAUUCCCCCCCGAGAGGUCGUUCUUUCGUGGUCCUCCUCUGCCACAGCCACCUCCUCAUCCUGCAUUGUUGGAGGAAGAACUUGAAAUGCAGCAUGCUGAAAUUCGAAAGCUUUUGACUGAUAACCACAGGCUGGUAGAAGAUCGAAUGGCUAUACAACAAGAGCUUGGGGCUGCAAAGGAGGAAAUUCAUCGUUUGAAUCUUGUCAUUGGUGAAAUUCGUGCAGAACAGGAACUGCACUCAAGGGGACUUAUUGAAAAAGGCUUGAAACUGGAGGCAGAUCUUCGUGCAACUGAGCCACUAAAAAAGGAGGCUAUGCAACUCCGCUCAGAAGUUCAGAAACUGAAUAACGUUAAUCAGGAUCUAACUGGCCAAGUUCAGACUCUCAAGAAGGAUAUUACUCGGCUGCAAGCUGAUAAUCAGCAGAUUCCUAUUCUCAGAGCAGAAGUUGAUGGCUUGCACCAGGAGUUGAUGCGUGCAAGGACUGCUAUUGAUUAUGAAAAAAAGGCAAACAUUGAGCUGAUGGAACAGAGACAAGCAAUGGAGAAGAACAUGGUCUCCAUGGCACGUGAAGUUGAAAAGCUACGUGCAGAACUUUCUAGCGUGGAUGCUAGACCAUGGGCUGCAGGUGGACCGUAUGGGAUGAAAUUCAACAGUUCAGAGGGCGCUUUUCCAGCUUCAUAUGAAGGAUAUGGGGCUCAUCUGGGUGCUGCUGACAAGGGUCCUUUUUACGGACCUGGCCCUGCUUCUUGGGAGAAGCCACGCAUGAAUCGUCGCUAGGAAAGUUAUUACUUGAUGGAAGAAGGCUGACAUUGUUACUUCACUUAUGAAGUUCAAAAUAUUGAUCAGCAUGGAGUUCAUCUAUGCAUGCAUGCCGCAUCAGUAAUAUUUAUCUUUAUAAAUUGAAACUGGUAUGCCUCGUGCAAAAAGAUGCAGAAAGAAGAUUAGUUAAAUCUUGCAUGAAAUUGAGGAAAUAUGAAUGAGGUAAAGUUACAUCAUUACAUGUGCUUUCAGACAAAAUUGGAAGAAAAUGAACCCCCAUCCCACACCCCCCCGCCCCUCCCAAAAAAAAAAAAAAAUUGUGUGCAUUUGUGUGAGUUAAUUGGUAGAUCUGCGUUUCAAUCCUAAAUGGAGAUGCAUGGAACUUUGUUGUAUGUUUUUUUUUUUUUAUCCUUUUGGGGUGCUGUGCUGGUAGGGUUGUCAAUCGUUUCUUUAGCCAAUAACCUCACCUCCAUCCCCUUUCCAUUUUGGUAUCUCCUGCAAUCUUUACCGACAUCAGGACAUUAUCAUAUAAGAUUGUUUCGCAGCCAGCAUUGCCAUAAAUAUAGUUUUACUACUCUGGUUAGAUGGAUUGUCUUACCUGCCCAGAACAUGCUAACAUCUCCUAACGUUUUUGUUAGUGGUUCUUCUGGGAGAUAUUCUGAAACUUGUAUUCUGAAAACCUUUGAAAUUAAAAAUAACUUUCUAUUUUGAGAGAGAAGUGUUUCUCGACGCUAAUUACUAACAAAUACCAAAUAACUAGUUGCAUUUGUUAAAUACUGGAAGGAAAGUAGUCUCUCCAUGAUAGUAGUGUAGGUCAUAGCUAUUACGAAUUUUCCUUCUUUAAUUGUUCUUGUGUGAGUAACAGAUAUGGUCUCAUGCUCCAUGAUUAGCACUUGAAUUCAUGAACUGCACAAGGUUGGUGUCAUGUCUGUACUCUAUUGUUGCAACUUGAUUACUAAAAGUAGACCUGACUACCUGUAUAUUUGUGUUAUGUUCAUAUUAUUAUUAUUAUUAAUUUUGAAAGACAUUAUUAUUAUUAUUAGUAUUGUGUUAUUAUUGUGUUUAAAUUGUUACGUAUUUAAUACAAAAUUUGACAUGUCAAAAAUUUGCAUUUUAUGUAUUGUUUUCGUGUUUGUGUUUUUUGGUCAUCAUGUGUCGUGUUAUCUUUUCACGUCUCAUCGUGUUCCACGUGGUGUUCAUGUUCGUCUAAUCUUGUAUGAGAUUUUCUGAUCUAACUGAAACUUAUUUAAAUAUAACUUUAAUUUGAGACUUUGUGUCCCUUAGCUCUCUUGUUAACAAAAGCCAUGAAGCUUUUGUGUUUUAACCUCAAAUUCUCAAAAUAUGAUUUAAAAAAAGAACAUAAUCUUAUGUUUAUAAAAUAACAUAAAAAACCAUAUAUUUUAUAAUUGGGCUUUCCUACCUUGUUUAUUUAGUGCUGUACAUGGCAAAUGAAAGAUUCAGUGUUUUAGUACCGUAAAACAGACUAAUUGCAUUAGGCAAUCACUACGAUAAUUGUAAUUUCAAAUCAGAGCGAUACAUUGCAGUAUUCUUUUUCAAUUUCAAGUUCUUUCCUUGGAGCCCAAUUUUUAUUUUUGUUCUUUCAUAACAAAUAAAUUACAUGGUUACAAUUUAGGGGUGAGUUGGAUUUUCAAAUUCAGCCAUAUGUAAAAUUCUUUACAUCUAGGUUGUAAAUACCGGUGGUAGCACUUUGGAUCGUCUUCCUUUGACUGGUGUAUUCGUGUCUGGGAAAUUCCCAUCACCGCCAACAACAUCCUCAACCAAACCAUCGACUGUGACAUUAACAGGGCUCUGCGGCUCCAUGAGUAUGUCAUCAGCAAGUCCGGUAUGCUCAUACCAUAAGGCCAUUCGAUAAUCAUGGAUACUUCUAGGAGUUGCAGAAUUGAUUUCAGGAUUCCCCGGUGGCAACUGAUAGCAUCCGAUUGCAAUUUCUGUGUCUCGUUGACCGUCCAUGGAUCUUUGGUUCACAUUGGCGGAUCCUAUCAGAAUGUAUAAAUCAUCCACUGCAAGUUGCAACGACCAUGGUUAAUAUUGAAUCAAGAUUGUCCUCUUGAUACUCAAUACACCCAACUAGACCAGCCUGACCUUGGAUAAGGUCUUUCAUAUGUCGGAUAUGUCUGGUCCAAUCCAAUUUUAAUUAAUUUUAUUUAGCUUUCACUAUGGAAUUUAAGGAUACUAUUACAAAAUCAAUGUAUUGUAUUUAAUAUUAAA
This is an RNA transcript of Gossypium raimondii (Peruvian cotton), 3400 nucleotides long. It is a transcript of the gene named protein FLX-like 3, with no coding region annotated. The transcript is spliced from 8 exons. The record is from RefSeq and is a predicted model, not a curated record. Lineage: Eukaryota; Viridiplantae; Streptophyta; Magnoliopsida; Malvales; Malvaceae.